UGAGGAAUAUUGGUCAAUGGACGAGAGUCUGAACCAGCCAAGUAGCGUGCAGGAUGACGGCCCUAUGGGUUGUAAACUGCUUUUGUUUGGGAAUAAUUGACAUUACGUGUAAUGUUUUGCAUGUACCAUUCGAAUAAGGACCGGCUAAUUCCGUGCCAGCAGCCGCGGUAAUACGGAAGGUCCAGGCGUUAUCCGGAUUUAUUGGGUUUAAAGGGAGUGUAGGCGGUUGGUUAAGCGUGUUGUGAAAUGUAGAUGCUCAACAUCUGACUUGCAGCGCGAACUGGCUGACUUGAGUACACACAGCGUAGGCGGAAUUCAUGGUGUAGCGGUGAAAUGCUUAGAUAUCAUGAAGAACGCCGAUUGCGAAGGCAGCUUACGGGAGUGUUACUGACGCUUAAGCUCGAAGGUGCGGGUAUCGAACAGG
Molecule: ribosomal RNA, 424 nt
Filed under: Verrucomicrobiota bacterium
Lineage: Bacteria; Pseudomonadati; Verrucomicrobiota
Description: Verrucomicrobia bacterium partial 16S ribosomal RNA
Rfam family: Bacterial small subunit ribosomal RNA
Source: RNAcentral